AGGCAGGUAGGACAGCACAAACCCUCCCCCGCCUGAGAAGGACACGCCCCCCUCAGGUGCAAUCACUUCCUCUUAACUGAGAGGUUACCUAUACCUCCUCCUCCUUUUGUUUCUUUUCAAUCCAGUUGUGACGUGUGCGUCCUGUGAGCUAAGUUUAGUCCUGAUCUUAUGUCAGUCAUUUUGUUCUCCCUCUCCAAAGCUAAAAGCAGCCACAAUAAGCCAAAAGAAACGAAAGGAGAAUAAAACCGCUCUGUGUUUUGAACCUGGACAGCAGCUUCCUGAAUUAAGACCAGAGAGCAAACGACAGCGUCAGGGUCUGCAGCGAAGGCCCACUGACCGGACAUUCAAACCAUCUGCGUGAAUGUAACAACUAGCAAUCAGUUCCUGGGCUAAUGAUGUGAUGAAUAUUCAGAUUACCUUCCUUUUGAUGAGGCUGAAGGAGCUGCUGAUGGGAGUCUGCUGCAGCAUCUGAUGAGGGGAACGAGAGGCUUUAAAAAGCCACUCUAGAAAAACCCUCCAAUCUCCUGCCUGCACUGUGAAUAUGAAGCUACUGUGCAGAGACAGUUAGCUUAGCAUAAAGACUGGAAACAAGGAGGGGGAAACUGCUCGUCUGGCUGUAAUGAAGGUGUUGUGGCCGGGACUCUGCCAUCUUGAUGUGCACGGUCAGUUACUGUAAUAUGAUUUUGUGUCCCCAGACAGGGUUUAAUAAAUGAAAGGACAUAACGCCGAUGAUACCCUGUUCCUGUCAGUGCAAGAUGACCUAAUUUGCUGAAAAACAGAGAAAGAGAACCAAGGAUACUGCUCCCUCUGAGAGUAUUUUAGUUUUAUUGAUUUCCUGAGAUGAGGAGAGAGGAAUAAAUGUCCCCUGGCAGUCCACCUCAAUGACAUACACAUGAUGCCAAAGGAAAGUGGCCUUCAGAGGGUAUAAGCUCACUAAAUGGUGGUUGUUCUAGCCAUAAUAGCCUCAGUGUAGCGACAAAUACCGACAGAAACAGAAGUUUAACCAUGGGCAUGAGUGUUAUUGGGUAUAAGAGUAUGUUUCGUUUGUGAUACUGCCUUCUGAUCGCUAACGUGGCCAAAUGUGAUCUUUCAUUAUUGCCCAGGUAGUUAAAAUAUCUUGGCCCAACAGUGGCUUAAAUUCAGCAACCUUCGUUUGGUUAAGUACACUACGCUG
Long non-coding RNA from Scatophagus argus, 1174 nucleotides. RefSeq lists it as uncharacterized. NCBI's taxonomy places the organism in Eukaryota, Metazoa, Chordata, Actinopteri, Scatophagidae. The record is from RefSeq and is a predicted model, not a curated record. The transcript is spliced from 4 exons.